Molecule: ribosomal RNA, 514 nt
Filed under: uncultured bacterium
Lineage: Bacteria
Description: partial 16S ribosomal RNA
Rfam family: Bacterial small subunit ribosomal RNA
Source: RNAcentral
GAUGAACGCUGGCGGCGUGCCUAAUACAUGCAAGUCGAGCGAACAGAUGAGAAGCUUGCUUCUCUGAUGUUAGCGGCGGACGGGUGAGUAACACGUGGGUAACCUACCUAUAAGACUGGGAUAACUCCGGGAAACCGGGGCUAAUACCGGAUAAUAUUUUGAACCGCAUGGUUCGAUAGUGAAAGACGGUUUCGGCUGUCACUUAUAGAUGGACCCGCGCCGUAUUAGCUAGUUGGUAAGGUAACGGCUUACCAAGGCGACGAUACGUAGCCGAUCUGGGAGGGUGAUCGGCCACACUGGAACUGAGACACGGUCCAGACUCCUACGGGAGGCAGCAGUAGGGAAUCUUCCGCAAUGGGCGAAAGCCUGACGGAGCAACGCCGCGUGAGUGAUGAAGGUCUUCGGAUCGUAAAACUCUGUUGUUAGGGAAGAACAAAUUUGUUAGUAACUGAACAAGUCUUGACGGUACCUAACCAGAAAGCCACGGCUAACUACGUGCCAGCCGCCGCGGUAA